This 468-nucleotide ribosomal RNA is filed under the name uncultured bacterium. RNAcentral describes it as "partial 16S ribosomal RNA". It matches the Rfam family "Bacterial small subunit ribosomal RNA", at positions 28 to 507 of the family's 1533-position model. The record is from RNAcentral.
GACGAACGCUGGCGGCGUGCUUAACACAUGCAAGUCGAACGGAAAGGCCCUGCUUUUGUGGGGUGCUCGAGUGGCGAACGGGUGAGUAACACGUGAGUAACCUGCCCCUGACUUUGGGAUAACUUCAGGAAACUGGGGCUAAUCCCGGAUAGGAGCUCCUGCUGCAUGGUGGGGGUUGGAAAGUUUCGGCGGUUGGGGAUGGACUCGCGGCUUAUCAGCUUGUUGGUGGGGUAGUGGCUUACCAAGGCUUUGACGGGUAGCCGGCCUGAGAGGGUGACCGGCCACAUUGGGACUGAGAUACGGCCCAGACUCCUACGGGAGGCAGCAGUGGGGAAUAUUGCACAAUGGGCGGAAGCCUGAUGCAGCAACGCCGCGUGCGGGAUGACGGCCUUCGGGUUGUAAACCGCUUUCGCCUGUGACGAAGCGUGAGUGACGGUAAUGGGUAAAGAAGCACCGGCUAACUACGUG